AUUGAACGCUGGCGGCAUGCCUUACACAUGCAAGUCGAACGGCAGCAUGGAGAGCUUGCUCUCUGAUGGCGAGUGGCGAACGGGUGAGUAAUGCAUCGGAACGUACCGUGUAAUGGGGGAUAACGUAGCGAAAGUUACGCUAAUACCGCAUUCGACCUGAGGGUGAAAGCAGGGGAUCGCAAGACCUUGCGUUAUACGAGCGGCCGAUGUCAGAGUAGCGUAGUUGGUGAGGUAAAGGCUCACCAAGGCGACGAUCUGUAGCGGGUCUGAGAGGAUGAUCCGCCACACGGGGCCUGAGCCACGGCCCAGACGCCUACUGGAGGCAGCAGUGGGGAAUUUUGGACAAUGGGGGCCACCCUGAUCCAGCCAUGCCGCGUGAGUGAAGAAGGCCUUCGGGUUGUAAAGCUCUUUCGGCCGGGAAGAAAUCGCACAGGCUAAUACUCUGUGUGGAUGACGGUACCGGCAUAAGAAGCACCGGCUAACUACGUGCCAGCCGCCGCCGUAA
RNAcentral lists this ribosomal RNA (505 nucleotides) under uncultured bacterium. Its description in RNAcentral is "partial 16S ribosomal RNA". It matches the Rfam family "Bacterial small subunit ribosomal RNA", at positions 30 to 523 of the family's 1533-position model. The record is from RNAcentral.